CCUACGGGAGGCAGCAGUGGGGAAUAUUGCACAAUGGGCGGAAGCCUGAUGCAGCGACGCCGCGUGAGGGAUGACGGCCUUCGGGUUGUAAACCUCUUUCACCCAUGACGAAGCGGAAGUGACGGUAGUGGGAGAAGAAGCGCCGGCCAACUACGUGCCAGCAGCCGCGGUAAGACGUAGGGCGCGAGCGUUGUCCGGAUUUAUUGGGCGUAAAGAGCUCGUAGGCGGCUUGUCGCGUCGACUGUGAAAACCCGUGGCUCAACUGCGGGCUUGCAGCCGAUACGGGCAGGCUAGAGUUCGGUAGGGGAGACUGGAAUUCCUGGUGUAGCGGUGAAAUGCGCAGAUAUCAGGAGGAACACCGGUGGCGAAGGCGGGUCUCUGGGCCGAUACUGACGCUGAGGAGCGAAAGCGUGGGGAGCGAACAGGAUUAGAUACCCUGGUAGUCCACGCUGUAAACGUUGGGCGCUAAGUGUGGGGGGCCUCUCCGGUUCUCUGUGCCGCAGCUAACGCAUUAAGCGCCCCGCCUGGGGAGUACGGCCGCAAGGCUAAAACUCAAAGGAAUUGACGGGGGCCCGCACAAGCGGCGGAGCAUGCGGAUUAAUUCGAUGCAACGCGAAGAACCUUACCUGGGUUUGACAUCACUCGAAAACUCGCAGAGAUGUGGGGUCCUUCGGGGCGGGUGACAGGUGGUGCAUGGCUGUCGUCAGCUCGUGUCGUGAGAUGUUGGGUUAAGUCCCGCAACGAGCGCAACCCUCGUCCCAUGUUGCCAGCAAUUCGGUUGGGGACUCAUGGGAGACUGCCGGGUCAACUCGGAGGAAGGUGGGGAUGACGUCAAGUCAUCAUGCCCCUUAUGUCCAGGGCUGCACACAUGCUACAUGGGCCGGUACAAGGGCUGCUAUCCUGCGAGGGUGAGCGAUUCCAGAAAGCCGGUCUCAGUCGGAUCGAGUCUGCACUCGACUCCGUGAGUCGAGUCGCUAGUAAUCCCGA
Molecule: ribosomal RNA, 987 nt
Filed under: uncultured bacterium
Lineage: Bacteria
Description: bacterial SSU rRNA
Rfam family: Bacterial small subunit ribosomal RNA
Source: RNAcentral